Molecule: ribosomal RNA, 1406 nt
Filed under: uncultured bacterium
Lineage: Bacteria
Description: 16S ribosomal RNA
Rfam family: Bacterial small subunit ribosomal RNA
Source: RNAcentral
AGAGUUUGAUCCUGGCUCAGGAUGAACGCUGGCGGCGUGCCUAAUACAUGCAAGUCGAGCGAGGGAAGUUAGAUUGAGACUUCGGUUGAUAUCUUAUGGAACUAGCGGCGAACGGGUGAGUAAGACAUAGGCAACCUGCCCCAAGGACUGGGAUAACUGAGGGAAACCUUAGCUAAUACCGGAUAGGUAAAUGGAAGGCAUCUUCUAUUUAUUAAAGUUGGGUUUCCAACACCAUGGGAUGGGCUUAUGCUGUAUUAGCUUGUUGGUGGGGUAACGGCCCACCAAGGCGAUGAUACAUAGCUGGUCUGAGAGGAUGAACAGCCACAUUGGGACUGAGACACGGCCCAGACUCCUACGGGAGGCAGCAGUAAGGAAUUUUCGGCAAUGGGGGAAACCCUGACCGAGCAACGCCGCGUGAGUGUAGAAGGUCUUCGGAUUGUAAAGCUCUGUUGUAGAGGAAGAAUGCUAAGUAUAGGAAAUGAUAUUUAGUUGACGGUACUCUACUAGAAAGUCACGGCUUACUACGUGCCAGCAGCCGCGGUAAUACGUAGGUGGCAAGCGUUAUCCGGAUUUAUUGGGCGUAAAGGGUGCGCAGGCGGUUUGUUAAGUUUGAUGUGAAAGCGUUGGGCUCAACCCAAUACAGCAUCGAAUACUGGCAAGCUAGAGUGCAGAAGGGGGUAAUGGAACUCCAUGUGUAGCGGUAAAAUGCGUAGAUAUAUGGAAGAACACCAGAGGCGAAGGCGAUUACCUGGUCUGUAACUGACGCUCAUGCACGAAAGCGUGGGGAGCAAAUAGGAUUAGAUACCCUAGUAGUCCACGCCCUAAACGAUGAGUACUAAAAUGUUGGAUUUAUUCAGUAUUGCAGCUAACGCAAUAAGUACUCCGCUUGAGGAGUAUGCACGCAAGUGUAAAACUUAAAGGAAUUGACGGGACCCCGCACAAGCGGUGGAGUAUGUGGUUCAAUUCGACGCAACGCGAAGAACCUUACCAGGCCUUGACAUCCCUCGCAAUAUCAUAGAGAUAUGAUGGAGGUUAUCGAGGUGACAGGUGGUGCAUGGUCGUCGUCAGCUCGUGUCGUGAGAUGUUGGGUUAAGUCCCGCAACGAGCGCAACCCUUGUCUUUAGUUACCAUCAUUUAGUUGGGGACUCUAGAGAGACUGCCGAUGAUAAAUCGGAGGAAGGUGGGGAUGACGUCAAAUCAUCAUGCGCUUUAUGGCCUGGGCUACACACGUACUACAAUGGCAUAUACAACAAGACGCAAUACAGCAAUGUGGAGCAAAUCUGUAAAAUAUGUCUCAGUUCGGAUUGGAGUCUGCAACCCGACUCCAUGAAGUUGGAAUCGCUAGUAAUCGCGGAUCAGCAUGCCGCGGUGAAUACGUUCUCGGGGUUUGCACACACCGCCCGUCA